This 250-nucleotide ribosomal RNA is filed under the name uncultured bacterium. RNAcentral's name for it is "partial 16S ribosomal RNA". It matches the Rfam family "Bacterial small subunit ribosomal RNA", at positions 527 to 776 of the family's 1533-position model. The record is from RNAcentral.
GUAGGUGGCAAGCGUUGUCCGGAUUUACUGGGCGUAAAGAGCGCGCAGGCGGUCGUAUAAGUCGAAUGUGAAAGCCCCCGGCUCAACUGGGGAGGGUCAUUCGAUACUGUUCGACUCGAAGGCAGGAGAGGGAAGUGGAAUUCCGGGUGUAGUGGUGAAAUGCGUAGAUAUUCGGAGGAACACCAGUGGCGAAGGCGGCUCACUGGUCCAUUACUGACGCUGAGGUGCGAAAGCGUGGGGAGCAAACUGG